GCAAUAGUAGCUCAGCUUUAGAGCACCGGUCUUGUAAGCCGGACGUCGGAGGUUAGAAUCCCCCCUACUGCU
RNAcentral lists this transfer RNA (72 nucleotides) under Remora brachyptera (spearfish remora). RNAcentral describes it as "tRNA-Thr". It matches the Rfam family "tRNA". From Rfam's summary of the family: Transfer RNA (tRNA) molecules are approximately 80 nucleotides in length. Their secondary structure includes four short double-helical elements and three loops (D, anti-codon, and T loops). Lineage: Eukaryota; Metazoa; Chordata; Actinopteri; Carangiformes; Echeneidae. The record is from RNAcentral.